AGACCCGAAACCCGGUGAUCUAGCCAUGGGCAGGUUGAAGGUUGGGUAACACUAACUGGAGGACCGAACCGACUAAUGUUGAAAAAUUAGCGGAUGACCUGUGGCUGGGGGUGAAAGGCCAAUCAAACCGGGAGAUAGCUGGUUCUCCCCGAAAGCUAUUUAGGUAGCGCCUCGUGAAUUCAUCUCCGGGGGUAGAGCACUGUUUCGGCUAGGGGGCCAUCCCGGCUUACCAACCCGAUGCAAACUGCGAAUACCGGAGAAUGUUAUCACGGGAGACACACGGCGGGUGCUAACGUCCGUCGUGAAGAGGGAAACAACCCAGACCGCCAGCUAAGGUCCCAAAGUCAUGGUUAAGUGGGAAACGAUGUGGGAAGGCCCAGACAGCCAGGAUGUUGGCUUAGAAGCAGCCAUCAUUUAAAGAAAGCGUAAUAGCUCACUGGUCGAGUCGGCCUGCGCGGAAGAUGUAACGGGGCUAAACCAUGCACCGAAGCUGCGGCAGCGACACUCAGGUGUUGUUGGGUAGGGGAGCGUUCUGUAAGCCUGUGAAGGUGGCCUGUGAGGGUUGCUGGAGGUAUCAGAAGUGCGAAUGCUGACAUAAGUAACGAUAAAGCGGGUGAAAAGCCCGCUCGC
This 630-nucleotide ribosomal RNA is filed under the name Salmonella enterica subsp. enterica serovar Montevideo. RNAcentral's name for it is "partial 23S ribosomal RNA". It matches the Rfam family "Bacterial large subunit ribosomal RNA", at positions 711 to 1337 of the family's 2925-position model. Lineage: Bacteria; Pseudomonadati; Pseudomonadota; Gammaproteobacteria; Enterobacterales; Enterobacteriaceae. The record is from RNAcentral.